AAGGGCACCACAAGAACGCGUGGAGCAUGUGGCUUAAUUUGACUCAACGCGGGAAAUCUUACCGGGUCCGGACACACUGAGGAUUGACAGACAAAUACACACACUUUUACGGUGUGCAUGAAAUAUGCUAGUUCUUUCAUGAUUAUGUGAUAGGUGGUGCAUGGCCGUUCUUAGUUCGUGGAGUGAUCUGUCUGCUUAAUUGCGUUUCACUAAAGGCACAUACACAUAAUAUUGAUGUGUUGUGUGUAUAAUUUAUAAUUAUACGCAUACACACAUAUUAUAUUGUGCUUUGAAAGCAACGAACGUGACCGCAACCUCUUGUUGCCUGUAUAUAUGUGUAUUUUAUACACACCACAGGCUAUUAUAACUAGAGGGACCGCUGUUACUUUCUUUUAAACCAGAGGAAGGUUGCGGCAAUAACAGGUCUGUGAUGCCCUUAGAUGUUCCGGGCUGCACACGUGCUACAAUGAUCAUUGCAGUGCGCAUCUCAUUUUGUUAUACACUGCUUGUGCGUAUGUGCAUCACAUAUAUUUAUAUGUGUGUGUGUAUGUAUUGCACGCAGUAAAGCCUACUUCGAAAGUUGUGGGUAAUCAAUUUGAAGUAAUGAUUUCUCCAAAUAUAUACUGCACACUCAUAUACAGUGUCUUAUGUCCAUGAAAAUAUUUUAUUUUUGUGUGUGCAUUCGAUGCUCGUAUGUGCAAUUGUCAAUUCAUGGUGGGGACAGACCAUUGUUAAUUGUUGGUCUCGGUCUUAACUAGGAAUGCCUUGUACGGGUCUUUGGUUCAACAAACCACCCGGAAUACGUCCCUGCCCUUUGUACACACCGCCCGUCGCUCUUACCGAUGGACUUCUCUGUGAGUUUGAGGGACUGGAUUUUAUAUCUAUGGAAACUCAAACGAACAGUGUGGUCUAAAGGAAAGAGAAGUCGUAACAAGGCAUCCGUAGGUGAACCU
Molecule: ribosomal RNA, 953 nt
Filed under: Haynesina sp. S16
Lineage: Eukaryota; Foraminifera; Rotaliida; Nonionidae
Description: SSU rRNA
Rfam family: Eukaryotic small subunit ribosomal RNA
Source: RNAcentral